This is a long non-coding RNA of Vigna radiata var. radiata (mung bean), 1059 nucleotides long. RefSeq lists it as uncharacterized. The record is from RefSeq and is a predicted model, not a curated record. The transcript has 4 exons. Lineage: Eukaryota; Viridiplantae; Streptophyta; Magnoliopsida; Fabales; Fabaceae.
AUUUACGUUAGAAUCCCAAGUUAGGCACUUCAUAGAGCUAUAUCCCAUUUUUUGGCCCACACUACAGGGGUCUUUUCAAAGCUUCUAGCCCCAAUAGCCCAUUAAAUGGGUUGGUAUUGAAUCAGGGUCCGGUUAAGCCCCUGACCCCGAAAACUUAUGUUCAAACCAAUCUUCUCCAACGUGGAGCUCAUCAAUAGCUGGAGCUUGACAGCAACACACGCGCUAGAGCUCGACAGUCGACACCAGCACACGGCGGUUGAAUGCUGAAUUUUUAGAAAUGUGAUGGAACAACGAACGAGGUUGGAAGACCUGGAGAAGUUGGUAGACAUUUUGGUACAACUGAGACACUGAAAUAGAGGGUUAGGUACCUGUGAAAGCAAAAUACAUAUAUAUUAUAGAAUUGAAAGUAAAUUAGGUUUACCUGCACCGUGAGUCCAAGCAUGUGCCUGAGCCAAAGUUCAUUGUCCUCGAGAGAAAAAGCAGUAAUGGUGUCAGGNCCACCCAAGUGCAGCAGCAGAAAGGGUGUCCAGAACGCUCGCAAGUAGUCAUCGAUGGUGGAAACUGCCGUGUCUUUAUCACCAUAUUUGUUGGAGAUGAGGCCAACACAGAAAUCCGCUGUGACAUCUGCCACAAGUUCAGGUUUGGAGUGGUUGUGAUGUAGAUCUUCAUCAUCGAUAAGGAAACAAAAGAUGAAGGUUUCAGCUCUUGUCAUAUACUCUUCCUUUUCAUUCUCUAUCUUUACGUAGUUGGCGUAUGAAAAAACUACAUGUGCUGUUCUCUGCUUUGUUUCUUUUGCUUUAGUCUGUAUAGUCUUUUUGUUGGGGAAAAUGCUUCUCUUUUGCUUUGGCUGGAGACAAGUUACAUAUCCUGAAAGAGAAAGCACAAUAGAGGAACAUAACUUUGCGUCUCAAUUAGAAACCAUGUUAUCUUUCAUCACACGCCCUUCAAUUACAUUUAUUUUUAUUUUCGGAAACUGUAAUUGUUUGCUAUGAAAUGGAACAUUAGCUAUCAUAUGAUCUUGUGAAUUAUAGUAAAUUUCGACAAAAUUUUAAUUUUUUA